Molecule: ribosomal RNA, 2892 nt
Filed under: Staphylococcus aureus
Lineage: Bacteria; Bacillati; Bacillota; Bacilli; Caryophanales; Staphylococcaceae
Description: partial 23S ribosomal RNA
Rfam family: Bacterial large subunit ribosomal RNA
Source: RNAcentral
CUUGGCACUAGAAGCCGAUGAAGGACGUUACUAACGACGAUAUGCUUUGGGGAGCUGUAAGUAAGCUUUGAUCCAGAGAUUUCCGAAUGGGGAAACCCAGCAUGAGUUAUGUCAUGUUAUCGAUAUGUGAAUACAUAGCAUAUCAGAAGGCACACCCGGAGAACUGAAACAUCUUAGUACCCGGAGGAAGAGAAAGAAAAUUCGAUUCCCUUAGUAGCGGCGAGCGAAACGGGAAGAGCCCAAACCAACAAGCUUGCUUGUUGGGGUUGUAGGACACUCUAUACGGAGUUACAAAGGACGACAUUAGACGAAUCAUCUGGAAAGAUGAAUCAAAGAAGGUAAUAAUCCUGUAGUCGAAAAUGUUGUCUCUCUUGAGUGGAUCCUGAGUACGACGGAGCACGUGAAAUUCCGUCGGAAUCUGGGAGGACCAUCUCCUAAGGCUAAAUACUCUCUAGUGACCGAUAGUGAACCAGUACCGUGAGGGAAAGGUGAAAAGCACCCCGGAAGGGGAGUGAAAUAGAACCUGAAACCGUGUGCUUACAAGUAGUCAGAGCCCGUUAAUGGGUGAUGGCGUGCCUUUUGUAGAAUGAACCGGCGAGUUACGAUUUGAUGCAAGGUUAAGCAGUAAAUGUGGAGCCGUAGCGAAAGCGAGUCUGAAUAGGGCGUUUAGUAUUUGGUCGUAGACCCGAAACCAGGUGAUCUACCCUUGGUCAGGUUGAAGUUCAGGUAACACUGAAUGGAGGACCGAACCGACUUACGUUGAAAAGUGAGCGGAUGAACUGAGGGUAGCGGAGAAAUUCCAAUCGAACCUGGAGAUAGCUGGUUCUCUCCGAAAUAGCUUUAGGGCUAGCCUCAAGUGAUGAUUAUUGGAGGUAGAGCACUGUUUGGACGAGGGGCCCCUCUCGGGUUACCGAAUUCAGACAAACUCCGAAUGCCAAUUAAUUUAACUUGGGAGUCAGAACAUGGGUGAUAAGGUCCGUGUUCGAAAGGGAAACAGCCCAGACCACCAGCUAAGGUCCCAAAAUAUAUGUUAAGUGGAAAAGGAUGUGGCGUUGCCCAGACAACUAGGAUGUUGGCUUAGAAGCAGCCAUCAUUUAAAGAGUGCGUAAUAGCUCACUAGUCGAGUGACACUGCGCCGAAAAUGUACCGGGGCUAAACAUAUUACCGAAGCUGUGGAUUGUCCUUUGGACAAUGGUAGGAGAGCGUUCUAAGGGCGUUGAAGCAUGAUCGUAAGGACAUGUGGAGCGCUUAGAAGUGAGAAUGCCGGUGUGAGUAGCGAAAGACGGGUGAGAAUCCCGUCCACCGAUUGACUAAGGUUUCCAGAGGAAGGCUCGUCCGCUCUGGGUUAGUCGGGUCCUAAGCUGAGGCCGACAGGCGUAGGCGAUGGAUAACAGGUUGAUAUUCCUGUACCACCUAUAAUCGUUUUAAUCGAUGGGGGGACGCAGUAGGAUAGGCGAAGCGUGCGAUUGGAUUGCACGUCUAAGCAGUAAGGCUGAGUAUUAGGCAAAUCCGGUACUCGUUAAGGCUGAGCUGUGAUGGGGAGAAGACAUUGUGUCUUCGAGUCGUUGAUUUCACACUGCCGAGAAAAGCCUCUAGAUAGAAAAUAGGUGCCCGUACCGCAAACCGACACAGGUAGUCAAGAUGAGAAUUCUAAGGUGAGCGAGCGAACUCUCGUUAAGGAACUCGGCAAAAUGACCCCGUAACUUCGGGAGAAGGGGUGCUCUUUAGGGUUAACGCCCAGAAGAGCCGCAGUGAAUAGGCCCAAGCGACUGUUUAUCAAAAACACAGGUCUCUGCUAAACCGUAAGGUGAUGUAUAGGGGCUGACGCCUGCCCGGUGCUGGAAGGUUAAGAGGAGUGGUUAGCUUCUGCGAAGCUACGAAUCGAAGCCCCAGUAAACGGCGGCCGUAACUAUAACGGUCCUAAGGUAGCGAAAUUCCUUGUCGGGUAAGUUCCGACCCGCACGAAAGGCGUAACGAUUUGGGCACUGUCUCAACGAGAGACUCGGUGAAAUCAUAGUACCUGUGAAGAUGCAGGUUACCCGCGACAGGACGGAAAGACCCCGUGGAGCUUUACUGUAGCCUGAUAUUGAAAUUCGGCACAGCUUGUACAGGAUAGGUAGGAGCCUUUGAAACGUGAGCGCUAGCUUACGUGGAGGCGCUGGUGGGAUACUACCCUAGCUGUGUUGGCUUUCUAACCCGCACCACUUAUCGUGGUGGGAGACAGUGUCAGGCGGGCAGUUUGACUGGGGCGGUCGCCUCCUAAAAGGUAACGGAGGCGCUCAAAGGUUCCCUCAGAAUGGUUGGAAAUCAUUCAUAGAGUGUAAAGGCAUAAGGGAGCUUGACUGCGAGACCUACAAGUCGAGCAGGGUCGAAAGACGGACUUAGUGAUCCGGUGGUUCCGCAUGGAAGGGCCAUCGCUCAACGGAUAAAAGCUACCCCGGGGAUAACAGGCUUAUCUCCCCCAAGAGUUCACAUCGACGGGGAGGUUUGGCACCUCGAUGUCGGCUCAUCGCAUCCUGGGGCUGUAGUCGGUCCCAAGGGUUGGGCUGUUCGCCCAUUAAAGCGGUACGCGAGCUGGGUUCAGAACGUCGUGAGACAGUUCGGUCCCUAUCCGUCGUGGGCGUAGGAAAUUUGAGAGGAGCUGUCCUUAGUACGAGAGGACCGGGAUGGACAUACCUCUGGUGUACCAGUUGUCGUGCCAACGGCAUAGCUGGGUAGCUAUGUGUGGACGGGAUAAGUGCUGAAAGCAUCUAAGCAUGAAGCCCCCCUCAAGAUGAGAUUUCCCAACUUCGGUUAUAAGAUCCCUCAAAGAUGAUGAGGUUAAUAGGUUCGAGGUGGAAGCAUGGUGACAUGUGGAGCUGACGAAUACUAAUCGAUCGAAGACUUAAUCAA